UGGGGAAUAUUGCACAAUGGGCGCAAGCCUGAUGCAGCCAUGCCGCGUGUGUGAAGAAGGCCUUCGGGUUGUAAAGCACUUUCAGCGAGGAGGAAGGUGGUGAGCUUAAUACGCUCAUCAAUUGACGUUACUCGCAGAAGAAGCACCGGCUAACUCCGUGCCAGCAGCCGCGGUAAUACGGAGGGUGCAAGCGUUAAUCGGAAUUACUGGGCGUAAAGCGCACGCAGGCGGUUUGUUAAGUCAGAUGUGAAAUCCCCGGGCUCAACCUGGGAACUGCAUUUGAAACUGGCAAGCUAGAGUCUCGUAGAGGGGGGUAGAAUUCCAGGUGUAGCGGUGAAAUGCGUAGAGAUCUGGAGGAAUACCGGUGGCGAAGGCGGCCCCCUGGACGAAGACUGACGCUCAGGUGCGAAAGCGUGGGGCAGCAAACAGGAUUAGAUACCCUGGUAGUCCACGCUGUAAACGAUGUCGAUUUGGAGGUUGUGCCCUUGAGGCGUGGCUUCCGGAGCUAACGCGUUAAAUCGACCGCCUGGGGG
This 533-nucleotide ribosomal RNA is filed under the name uncultured bacterium. Its description in RNAcentral is "partial 16S ribosomal RNA". It matches the Rfam family "Bacterial small subunit ribosomal RNA", at positions 355 to 879 of the family's 1533-position model. The record is from RNAcentral.